UCAUGUAUAAAAUGGCGCAGAAGGACACAAACUUUCCACUUGUUAAAGUGAAUCUCCCAGAAAAAGACAAGACAAACUCUACAUUAGAACACUGUUAGGAUAUGACAGGGUACCAAACGGAAAGGCGCAUCACCGCACUAGAUGGUUGAAGCCUGUCUAUGCUCUGAGCUCGCCCUCACAGGCGGAUGAUUGAUGAGGGAUGGGGGCAAGGCCGAGCACGCACAGCAUAAAGACCCAUACACGGCUCAAUAAAGCCGGGCCUGAGCGGGGAACGGCCGCGCUCAAUAGACGUUGGCGCGAGUAGAUUGAGGCCAACGGCAGAGAGGAAGGUGCUCUGUUGUCCCAUAAUCCAGUUAGCCAUUGAGCCACCAGCCGUCUGGAGCACGAUAGAGAGCAGCAGCGAAGGAUGGCCGAGGAGAGCAGAGGACAGAAAGGUUGGAUAGCCCAGAGGGGGGUUUGGGAGAGAGGCACAGCUCGAAGCCCCUGCUGAGAAAGACAGAGCGGGAGAGUGAAAGAGAAAAAUAUAAAAAAGCGAGACCAUUGCAGUCCCACGUCUGGAACAAACGGCAAAUGUGAAAGUGGAGAUGAAGCACAUUUAUUUGCAUACAGAAGCCAAAUAUAGGAAAGACAUUGUUUGUGUUGUUUAAAUAUAAUUCUCACUAAUAAAUUGAUAUCACAAC
Molecule: non-coding RNA, 680 nt
Organism: Danio rerio (zebrafish)
Lineage: Eukaryota; Metazoa; Chordata; Actinopteri; Cypriniformes; Danionidae
Source: RefSeq, a predicted model, not a curated record